AGGGAAUCCUUGCUGGGGAGUUUGACUAUGGGGACUCACUGGAUUCAGAUAGUGACCCUGGAGAGGUGUACUAUGCUGACAAUGAACCCAUUCACGCCCGGAGGUCGUUUUUAAAGGGGAGGGUACUGUCACGGUUCUCACCUGAUAGACAGACGGCAAGACGUGGUCGCUCUUGGAGUUCCCAACAGGGGACUUGAACCGGGGAUCUUCUCAGUCCUGGUCCUGCUUUCUACCUCUGAGCCACAGCAGCUAUUUACAGUGAAGACUGAUUCCAAUCCUGUUCAUCCUGACAUGGCUACUACUCUGGGGGCUGCACCUUGACUUGGCUGUGUUUCACCUGACUCUGAU
This is a non-coding RNA of Pelobates cultripes (western spadefoot toad), 348 nucleotides long. NCBI's taxonomy places the organism in Eukaryota, Metazoa, Chordata, Amphibia, Anura, Pelobatidae. The record is from the annotation of a GenBank genome assembly.